ACUCUGAUCCNGCCNUGCCGCGUGUAGGAAGACUGCCCUAUGGGUUGUAAACUACUUUUAUAUGGGAAGAAUAAGGUCUACGUGUAGACUGAUGACGGUACCAUAAGAAUAAGCACCGGCUAACUCCGUGCCAGCAGCCGCGGUAAUACGGAGGGUGCAAGCGUUAUCCGGAAUCAUUGGGUUUAAAGGGUCCGUAGGCGGGCAUAUAAGUCAGUGGUGAAAGUCUGUGGCUCAACCAUAGAAUUGCCAUUGAUACUGUAUGUCUUGAAUUAUUGUGAAGUGGUUAGAAUAUGUAGUGUAGCGGUGAAAUGCUUAGAGAUUACAUAGAAUACCGAUUGCGAAGGCAGAUCACUAACAAUAUAUUGACGCUGAUGGACGAAAGCGUAGGUAGCGAACAGGAUUAGAUACCC
Molecule: ribosomal RNA, 410 nt
Filed under: Dokdonia sp. Asnod6C9
Lineage: Bacteria; Pseudomonadati; Bacteroidota; Flavobacteriia; Flavobacteriales; Flavobacteriaceae
Description: bacterial SSU rRNA
Rfam family: Bacterial small subunit ribosomal RNA
Source: RNAcentral